GGUGUGUCUGUCAGUCGAGUUGUUCCGGUAGUGUUAGAGAGGUGAGUCACGUGGUUGUGUCUGUCAGGUGAGUUGUUCUGGUAGUGUUAGAGAGGUGAGUCACGUGGUUGUGUCUGUCAGGCGAGUUGUUCUGGUAGUGUUAGAGAGGUGAGUCAUGUGGUUGUGUCUGUCAGGCGAGUUGUUCUAGUAGUGUUAGAGAGGUGAGUAACGUUGUUGUGUCUGUCAGGCGAGUUGCUCUGGUAGUGUUAGAGAGGUCAGUCACGUGGUUGUGUCUGUCAGACGAGUCGUUCCGGUAGUGUUAGAGAGGUGAGUCACGUGGUUGUGUCUGACAGGCGAGUUGUUCUGGUAGUGUUAGAGAGGUGAGUCACGUGGUUGUGUCUGUCAGGCGAGUUGUUCUGGUAGUGUUAGAGAGGUGAGUCACGUGGUUGUGUCUGUCAGACGAGUUGUUCCGGUAGUGUUAGAGAAAUGAGUGACGUGGGUGUGUCUGUCAGGCGAGUUGUUCUGGUAGUGUUAGAGAGGUGAGUCACGUGGUUGUGUCUGUCAGGCGAGUUGUUCUGGUAGUGUUAGAGAGGUGAGUCACAUGGUUGUGUCUGUCAGACGAGUUGUUCCGGUAGUGUUAGAGAGGUGAGUCACAUGGUUGUGUCUGUCAGGCAAGUUGUUCCAGUAGUGUUAGAGAGGUGAUACACCUGGUUGUGUCUGUCAGGCGAGUUGUUCCGGUAGUGUUAGAGAGGCGAGUCACAUGGUUGUGUCUGUCAGUCAAGUUGUUCCGGUAGUGUUAGAGAGGUUAGUCACGUGGUUGUGUCUGUCAGACGAGUUGUUCCGGUAGUGUUAG
Haliotis rubra (blacklip abalone) is the source of this 832-nucleotide long non-coding RNA. RefSeq lists it as uncharacterized. Lineage: Eukaryota; Metazoa; Mollusca; Gastropoda; Lepetellida; Haliotidae. The transcript is spliced from 6 exons. The record is from RefSeq and is a predicted model, not a curated record.